CCCUUAGAUGUUCUGGGCCGCACGCGCGCUACACUGAUGCAUUCAACGAGUCUAAAACCUGCUCUGAUAGGGGUGGGUAAUCUUUUGAAUGUGCAUCGUGAUUGGGAUAGAUGAUUGCAAUUUUUCAUCUUCAACGAGGAAUGCCUAGUAAACGCAAGUCAUCAGCUUGCAUUGAUUACGUCCCUGCCCUUUGUACACACCGCCCGUCGCUCCUACCGAUUGAAUGAUCCGAUGAAUAUCAUGGAUUGAGGAUGUAAGCAGGUUCGCCUGUCUUCAUCUUCGAGAAGUGAAGUAAAUCUUAUCAUUGAGAGGAAGGAGAAGUCGUAACA
RNAcentral lists this ribosomal RNA (329 nucleotides) under uncultured eukaryote. RNAcentral's name for it is "partial 18S ribosomal RNA". It matches the Rfam family "Eukaryotic small subunit ribosomal RNA", at positions 1470 to 1796 of the family's 1831-position model. The record is from RNAcentral.